This 449-nucleotide ribosomal RNA is filed under the name uncultured bacterium. Its description in RNAcentral is "bacterial SSU rRNA". It matches the Rfam family "Bacterial small subunit ribosomal RNA", at positions 355 to 825 of the family's 1533-position model. The record is from RNAcentral.
UGGGGAAUCUUGCGCAAUGGGCGAAAGCCUGACGCAGCGACGCCGCGUGUGGGAUGAAGGUCUUCGGAUUGUAAACCACUGUCGGGAGGGACGAAGCUCUGACGGUACCUCCAAAGGAAGCACCGGCUAACUCUGUGCCAGCAGCCGCGGUAAUACAGAGGGUGCGAGCGUUGUCCGGAAUCACUGGGCGUAAAGGGCGCGUAGGCGGCCUGGUAAGUAGGGGGUGAAAUCUCAUGGCUCAACUGUGAGGCUGCCUUCUAGACUGCUGGGCUUGAGCACGGUAGAGGCUGGUGGAAUUCCCGGUGUAGCGGUGGAAUGCGUAGAGAUCGGGAGGAACAUCGGUGGCGAAGGCGGCCAGCUGGGCCGUUGCUGACGCUGAGGCGCGAAAGCGUGGGGAGCAAACAGGAUUAGAUACCCUGGUAGUCCCUGAGCGGGCUGGCAAGGCGCAU